CCUACGGGGGGCUGCAGUGGGGAAUAUUGCACAAUGGGCGCAAGCCUGAUGCAGCCAUGCCGCGUGUGUGAAGAAGGCCUUCGGGUUGUAAAGCACUUUCAGCGGGGAGGAAGGCGGUGAGGUUAAUAACCUCAUCGAUUGACGUUACCCGCAGAAGAAGCACCGGCUAACUCCGUGCCAGCAGCCGCGGUAAUACGGAGGGUGCAAGCGCUAAUCGGAAUUACUGGGCGUAAAGCGCACGCAGGCGGUCUGUCAAGUCGGAUGUGAAAUCCCCGGGCUCAACCUGGGAACUGCAUUCGAAACUGGCAGGCUAGAGUCUUGUAGAGGGGGGUAGAAUUCCAGGUGUAGCGGUGAAAUGCGUAGAGAUCUGGAGGAAUACCGGUGGCGAAGGCGGCCCCCUGGACAAAGACUGACGCUCAGGUGCGAAAGCGUGGGGAGCAAACAGGAUUAGAUACCCUGGUAGGC
This 465-nucleotide ribosomal RNA is filed under the name uncultured Klebsiella sp. RNAcentral's name for it is "bacterial SSU rRNA". It matches the Rfam family "Bacterial small subunit ribosomal RNA", at positions 338 to 795 of the family's 1533-position model. The record is from RNAcentral. Lineage: Bacteria; Pseudomonadati; Pseudomonadota; Gammaproteobacteria; Enterobacterales; Enterobacteriaceae.